RNAcentral lists this ribosomal RNA (33 nucleotides) under Lathyrus oleraceus (garden pea). Its description in RNAcentral is "Pisum sativum (pea) partial 5.8S ribosomal RNA". The record is from RNAcentral. Lineage: Eukaryota; Viridiplantae; Streptophyta; Magnoliopsida; Fabales; Fabaceae.
AAAAUGACUCUCGGCAACGGAUAUCUAGGCUCU